GGAAAAAGAGAAGUAGAGAGAGGAAAGCUGAGUGAUAAAUUCUGCCUAGCUUGGGCAGGGGCAAGUAUGUAUGAGGCAAGUUCAGAAAACCACUGGUGCUGUUUCAGAAGGGUGCAGCCUUUCUGUCC
Long non-coding RNA from Leopardus geoffroyi (Geoffroy's cat), 128 nucleotides. RefSeq lists it as uncharacterized. Lineage: Eukaryota; Metazoa; Chordata; Mammalia; Carnivora; Felidae. The record is from RefSeq and is a predicted model, not a curated record. The transcript has 3 exons.